RNAcentral lists this long non-coding RNA (2462 nucleotides) under Canis lupus familiaris (dog). Its description in RNAcentral is "lncRNA (ENSCAFG00000057263.1, ENSCAFG00845004155.1)". Lineage: Eukaryota; Metazoa; Chordata; Mammalia; Carnivora; Canidae. The record is from RNAcentral.
GAGAGAGAGAGAGAGAGAGAGAGACAGGCAGAGGGAGAAGUAGGCUCCAUGCAGGGAGUCUGGGAGUCUGAGGUGGGACUUGAUCCUGGGGCUCCAGGACCAUGCCCUGGGCUGAAAGCAGAUGCUCAACCACUGAGCCACCCAGAUGUCCCUAGCAAGCAUGCUUGAAGACAUUCUUGGCACAGGAGAGACGGGGCCCUGGGGCAGGAGAGUAAAAUGGCAGUUAGAAUUAAGACCACCGUGCACAUGCCGCUCUCAGUGUAAAGUCUCCAAAUGCUAUAGCAGGUAGCAGCUGGCAUGGCUGGUUCUGGUCGUGUCCUCACCUGCACUGCCCCUGCCCGAGGAUCCCUCCCCAGCCCUUCCUGAGAGGUCUCACCCUGGGGCUGACGGCCAGCUGGCAGGGGCAUUGCCAGCCUGAGAAUCAGGGCAGGGCUGGGAGAGUCCAGGGAGAAGCACCACCAUGGUGGGCACAGGGUGGGGUCCACACCAGGGCAGCUGUCUGGAGGCCAAGAUAGAAGGCCCACUGCAUCCCUCUGAACUGAUGACUCUAUGGUGGCAUAGAAGAGGGAAGGCUGGCUCUUUCCUGAGGUGCCAGAUGAUCCUCAUGGCAGUUCACCUUCAGGCCUGCAACAGGCUUAGCCUGUAAGAUCUGAGGGACCAGAGAGGGCCUCAGUCUACCCAAAAACUCUUUCCCAACAGUCUCUUGAGAGUUGAGAAUCUGUUUCCCAAACAAAGAAUUGGAAACUGUAAGCAAGUGUGAAGAACAUUCAGGCAAAGGGUAAAUGAGCCUGGAAGGGAGAAGGGAGCAUCCCUGAACAAGGCUGGGGAGGAAGAUUCAGCCUGGGAUGGAGACAGAUUGGUGGACUCAACAAAGACUGGGCCACAGGCCUCCUGGUCCUCCUCCCGUGACAGCCAGAACCCAGUACAACUGCCACUAUGACAGCAGCCAGGAAGGCCCUCUGGACACAGUGGCCUUCAAAGCCUUUCAGCUCCCAGGCCCUGGGUUCCUCCAACUGACAGUCAGGAGAGUCCUGCUUCUGCUCACCACAGGCCCCAACAGGCCACGCAGCCCUUUGUCGCCACUGUGCUCUAGAUCGUUCAUGUGCUCACACACACACACACCUGUGCACAAGCCCUGGACCAACACAUAAGACACGUGCCAAGAUAGCUCGCGCUCAGGACAAAAGUCUUCACUUAACAAUCCGGACAUCUUUUUUUGUCUCUCUGGUCAUUUAACUAAUAGAUUGUGAACAGUGUGAAAAUACAAACGUGCUCAGACUCCGCCAGCUCCCGAGGGUGGCACGGGCCCUGCGGGUCUGUCACAGCCUAGGGAUGGACUUUUGUCAUCACCAUCAGCGUCUGCCAUCACCACUACCAGAGCCUGCUGGAGCCACAGAGAUAACGCAAAUGUUUACCAGACAGAUGGGCGAGGACCUUGUCAGGAGCUCUAGGAGAGAGGCUCAACAGAAUACGAGGUGCAGUGGGGAAGGGGACAAUGGCUGUAUCCAGUUUGCACACAGCGAUGCUUUGUGAAUCCAUGUGGCAGAGGAGGGGCAAGCAGGGGAACUCAGGAUCUGCCCUCAUGGGAUCCAGGGUACCUGGUUCCAACGCAAGGGCUGCAAGCGUUCUGAGCGCUGGAGACCAGGCUACUGCAGUGGUGGAUAUGGCCAUCCAGAGGAGGUAGCACUGAGCAGAGGCACUGAGGCAGGGUGGGACUUGUGAAGCAAGAGCUGACAGCAUGGCAUAAGGAUUAAGUAAGUGAGCUGUGCAAGCAGCCAACCUUAUUUUGAGUUUGUGUUACGUCUCUCCCUGGCUGUGUGAUCCUGGGAAAGAUCCCCAACCUCUCUGAUCUUCAGUAGCCUGGUAUGUAAAAUGCCAAGGCCUCUCAGAUAAGGGCUGCAGAGAGAAGGAACUAAGCCUGCAAAGGGGCUGAACUAUAGUAAGCGGCCAGUGGUGUCAGGUAAGGGCAAGAGGCAGGGAGGCUGAGAUGAGACAAUGCGUACGUAGGGGCAGAGGAGGAGGAGGAGAAUAACCCCAGGGAAGCGGGACACCCAGGCUGGACGAGGCUGUGGCUGGAGCGGGCUACCUCUGAGGCCCCAUCUCUGAAGAAGAUGCAGCUGGAGAGGUGGCAGCCCUGCCAAACAGGUUGUCAGUCAGGCCCUUCGGGGGCUUCCUUCCCAUUGGCCAUGGCUCUGACAGGGAAAUCAGCAGGCUGGCGGUGCGGGCCUGGGCAGCGCAACAGACAAGGCCCUGGGGACAGCUUAAGUGGACAAUAAUUGCAGGUUAUUAUAUACCGGGCUGCAGCCAAAAGCCAGGCAGCUAUUAAGUGUGAUUGGGAGAAAUAAUCAGGAGGAGGAGGAUGGAUGUGAGAACUAAGCUGUUCUUUCUGUUCUCAAGGCUGCUCUGAGGCCGGGACUGUGCAGAGGCAGGGACAGGGUGGGUGGGGAAAGGAGCAGAGCUAC